GGGAAUUUUGUACAUGUCACUAUUCCUGGAUCCAAAGGGAACUAUGUUCGAUGGAAUAAUUUCUUAGAGGUAUUACCGCAUCCCCAAGGGUUAGGCCCACUUUUUACAGGUCAGUGGAAUCUUUAUACUCAAAAUCGAUGUUUCCAGUGGCGGACGGGUGAGUAAUACGUAAGGUGCCCUUGGGAGGGGAACAACAGCUAGAAACAAUUGCUAAUACCCCGUAGGCUGAGGAGCAAAAGAAGGAAUCCGCCCAAGGAGGGGCUUGCGUCUGAUUAGCUAGUUGGUGAGGCAGUAGCUUCAACCCUUUGAGUGAAAUGCGGC
Molecule: long non-coding RNA, 321 nt
Filed under: Olea europaea subsp. europaea
Lineage: Eukaryota; Viridiplantae; Streptophyta; Magnoliopsida; Lamiales; Oleaceae
Rfam family: Bacterial small subunit ribosomal RNA (bases 59-321)
Source: RNAcentral